This is a non-coding RNA of Pantherophis guttatus, 528 nucleotides long. NCBI's taxonomy places the organism in Eukaryota, Metazoa, Chordata, Lepidosauria, Squamata, Colubridae. The record is from RefSeq and is a predicted model, not a curated record.
AGUAGCCAGAAUAUUUUUUCAUGAAUGAAGCAUCCAGCAUGUACAUAGUCAAUGAAUGGAAUUAUGUCAUCAUAUAUCAUGGAUAAUUUGCACUGAUUCAUCUCUUAUCUUCAAGGUAACCUCAUCCAACUUGUACCAGCAAAGAGGGCCUACUACAGAUCCUAUCUGUCUAAGAAUUCUGACUAUCAGGAUCCAGAAGAAGAGCCUUGUAUGUCACAAUGUCUGACUUUUGGAACAUCUUACCCUCCAGGAUAAGAUCUGCCCUGACCUUCCUAGGAACUUGAAGAUCUGGGUCUCCCUGUUGGCUUAGGGACACAAUGAGGGAUUUCCAUGCUGGAGGUGGCUGUUGGAUUUAUGUAUUCUUAUUGUUUUCUUUUUUGUUGUUUUAUUGUUCUAUUAUUUUACUUCUGUUUUGUUUACAUUUCUUUUCAUUUCUUUGUUUUUAUUAUGGUACGCUGCCCAGGGUAGCCCUAUGGGGAGAUAGGUGGCAAGUAAAUUUUAAAAAUAAAUAAAUAAAUAAUGAUGCAA